Callithrix jacchus (white-tufted-ear marmoset) is the source of this 1560-nucleotide long non-coding RNA. Lineage: Eukaryota; Metazoa; Chordata; Mammalia; Primates; Cebidae. The record is from Ensembl.
AUGCCAGCAUACCUGUAUAAUAUUCUAGUGCACCUGUGCACCACACCAGCAUACCUAUAUAAUAUUCUAGUGUACAUGUGCACCACGCCAGCAUACCUGUAUAAUAUUCUAGUGCACCUGUGUACAACCCCAGCAUACCUGUAUAAUAUUCUAGUGCACCUUUGCACAACCCCAGCAUACCUAUAUAAUAUUCUAGUGCACCUGUGCAACACACCGGCAUACCUGUAUAAAAUUCUAGUGCACCUGUGCACCACCCCAGCAUACCCGUAUAAUAUUCUAGUGCACCUUUGCACAACCCCAGCAUACCUAUAUAAUAUUCUAGUGCACCUGUGCAACACACCAGCAUACCUGUAUAAAAUUCUAGUGCACCUGUGCACCAUGCCAGCAUACCUGUAUAAUAUUCUAGUGCACCUGUGCACCAUGCCAGCAUACCUGUAUCAUAUUCUAGUGCACCUGUGUACAACCCCAGCAUACCUAUAUAAUAUUCUAGUGCACCUGUGCACCAUGCCAGCAUACCUGUAUAAUAUUCUAGUGCACCUGUGCACCACCCCAGCAUACCUGUAUAAUAUUCUAGUGCACCUGUGCACCACGCCAGCAUACCUGUAUAAUAUUCUAGUGCACCUGUGUACAACCCCAGCAUACCUGUAUAAUAUUCUAGUGCACCUGUGCAACACACCAGCAUACCUGUAUAAUAUUCUAGUGCACCUGUGUACAACCCCAGCAUACCUGUAUAAUAUUCUAGUGCACCUGUGCACCACGCCAGCAUACCUGUAUCAUAUUCUAGUGCACCUGUGCACCACGUCAGCAUACCUGUAUAAUAUUCUAGUGCACCUGUGUACAACCCCAGCAUACCUGUAUAAUAUUCUAGUGCACCUGUGCACCACGCCAGCAUACCUGUAUAAUAUUCUAGUGCACCUGUGUACAACCCCAGCAUACCUGUAUAAUAUUCUAGUGCACCUGUGCACCACGCCAGCAUACCUGUAUAAUAUUCUAGUGCACCUGUGUACAACCCCAGCAUACCUGUAUAAUAUUCUAGUGCACCGGUGUACAACCCCAGCAUACCUGUAUAAUAUUCUAGUGCACCUGUGCACCACGUCAGCAUACCUGUAUAAUAUUCUAGUGCACCUGUGUACAACCCCAGCAUACCUGUAUAAUAUUCUAGUGCACCUGUGCACCACACCAGCAUACCUGUAUAAUAUUCUAGUGCACCUGUGUACAACCCCAGCAUACCUGUAUAAUAUUCUAGUGCACCUGUGCACCACGCCAGCAUACCUGUAUAAUAUUCUAGUGCACCUGUGUACAACCCCAGCAUACCUGUAUAAUAUUCUAGUGCACCUUUGCACAACCCCAGCAUACCUGUAUAUUCUAGUGCACCUUUGCACAACCCCAGCAUACUUAUAUAAUAUUCUAGUGCAUCUGUGCACCCCAGCAUACCUGUAUAAUACUCUAGUGCACCUGUGCACCACCCCAGAAUAUCUGUAUAAUACUCUAGUGCACCUGUGCACCACCCCAGCAUACCUUUGUACCAUUACAGCAUACCUGUCUUCCAUGCCACUGUAG